RNA transcript from Exaiptasia diaphana, 931 nucleotides. It is a transcript of the gene named monocarboxylate transporter 2, with no coding region annotated. The record is from RefSeq and is a predicted model, not a curated record. NCBI's taxonomy places the organism in Eukaryota, Metazoa, Cnidaria, Anthozoa, Actiniaria, Aiptasiidae. The transcript is spliced from 4 exons.
GUGACAAUUUUGGCUACGGUGACUGCCACGGGUCAUAGCAUGACAUUAGUUCAUCUGGCUAAAUUCUCUGAAGAUAUUGGUAUUGAUAGCUAUCGAUCAUCCUGGUUGUACUUCAUCAUUGGAUUCAGCUCAACAACAUCUAGACUUCUUGUUGGAAAAUUUGGAAAAGUCGGYCCACUUUCUCUUCUAGAUAUAGCCCUUCUUGGUAAUGUUAUUCUCGCUUUGGGGAAUUUUGUUCUACCGUCAACAUCAGUGUACUAUGGAAUGGUGCURUAUUCCAUUGGUUACGGUGUAGGGGAGGGGUUAGUAUACACGCCAAUUUUUAACAUUGCAAUUGAUAGCGUACCAGCUGAUAAAAGGGGUAGUGGUUAUGGUAUUUUCCAGAUGUGUUAUUGCUUGGCGUAUCUCAUUGGACCUAUUUUAUCAGGCACCAGUGCUCAGGACCCGGCAACAAUAGGAAGAAUAAAAUGGUGGGAACUAGCGGUGAACUAGUGUGAGCUGCGUCGGUGUUUCUAAAGAAACAGUUGUGUAGAAAGAUAAAUUUAACACCGUAAAAAAAGUUUUAUAGCAGACGUAAGUGGAUCAUACAACAAUGCCUUCUACACUGCUGGCUCGCUAGAAGUCUUUGCUGGAUGUCUGUAUAUUUUAACUCGUUGUAUUCCAUCAUCAAAUAGAGAAGUUAUUUUGGAUGGGACUUUGGAUACCCAACUUGUAGUAGUUGAGAAAGAAACUGUACUUUAGAGUUAAGAAAGAUCUCUUCRCAUACAUUCUGGAUUUUCUUCUUGAUAUCUUUCUGCCCUGUAGUUACUACGUCUCUGCUUGGACAUUACUGUCUAAUUCAUGUCAAUUCAUUUCAUGCCCGUGAAACACGUCUAACUGUUUAAAAGUGAAGUCAAAUGGACACAAUAAAAAAUAAUGCAAUUAAAGCACA